GUGUGUUCCAUGGAGGAGGAAUGCCAUGUGGGGAGCCAGGCCAGCCCUUUUAAUCCGCAUUAGUCGGAUAGGAAAAUAUCGUUCGUAGGACAGAGGCUGGAUAUACGGUAACACGAAGCUGGGCCCUGGAAGCAUUUUGCGUCAUCUGGAAGGGAACUAAGCUCGGGAGCAUUUCCCGAGAAGCCGAUUGCUAUGGUAACUCAUGCCCAGGCAUGGGACAGCACCAGGGAGAGACGCAUCAGUUACCUUGCCCGGCCAAAAGUCAAUCACCAGAUCAUCUGCAACAGGAUCUCCGUAUACUGGACGGACAAAUUGCCUUCGAAGACUCACAGGUUCACAGUCCCGGGUAAGAU
Molecule: long non-coding RNA, 353 nt
Organism: Mauremys mutica (yellowpond turtle)
Lineage: Eukaryota; Metazoa; Chordata; Testudines; Geoemydidae
Exons: 4
Source: RefSeq, a predicted model, not a curated record